UACGGGGGGGGCAAGCGUUGUUCGGAAUUACUGGGCGUAAAGCGUGCGUAGGUGGUUCGUUAAGUCGGAUGUGAAAGCCCCGGGCUCAACCUGGGAAUGGCAUCCGAUACUGGCGGACUGGAGUUCGAUAGAGGGUAGUGGAAUUCCCGGUGUAGCGGUGAAAUGCGCAGAUAUCAGGAAGAACACCGGUGGCGAAGGCGGCGUUCUGGACUGUCUCUGACACUGAAGAACGAAAGCCAGGGGAGCAAACGGG
RNAcentral lists this ribosomal RNA (253 nucleotides) under uncultured bacterium. RNAcentral's name for it is "partial 16S ribosomal RNA". It matches the Rfam family "Bacterial small subunit ribosomal RNA", at positions 524 to 776 of the family's 1533-position model. The record is from RNAcentral.